ACUCCUACGGGAGGCAGCAGUGGGGAAUAUUGCACAAUGGGGGAAACCCUGAUGCAGCCAUGCCGCGUGUGUGAAGAAGGCCUUCGGUUGUAAAGCACUUUCAGUAGGGAGGAAGGUAGUGUAGUUAACACCUGCAUUAUUUGACGUUACCUACAGAAGAAGCACCGGCUAACUCCGUGCCAGCAGCCGCGGUAAUACGGAGGGUGCGAGCGUUAAUCGGAAUUACUGGGCGUAAAGCGCAUGCAGGCGGCCUGUUAAGUCAGAUGUGAAAGCCCGGGGCUUAACCUCGGAAUUGCAUUUGAAACUGGCAGGCUAGAGUCUUGUAGAGGGGGUAGGAAUUUCAGGUGUAGCGGUGAAAAUGCGUAGAGAUCUGAAGGAAUACCAGU
Molecule: ribosomal RNA, 386 nt
Filed under: uncultured bacterium
Lineage: Bacteria
Description: bacterial SSU rRNA
Rfam family: Bacterial small subunit ribosomal RNA
Source: RNAcentral